UACGGAGGAUGCGAGCGUUAUCCGGAUUUAUUGGGUUUAAAGGGUGCGCAGGCGGGCUGUUAAGCCGGCGGUAAAAAUUCAGGGCUCAACCCUGUCGAGCCGUUGAAACUGGGGAUCUAGAGUGUGCGAGAGGUAUGCGGAAUGCGUGGUGUAGCGGUGAAAUGCAUAGAUAUCACGCAGAACCCCGAUUGCGAAGGCAGCAUACCGGUGCACAACUGACGCUCAGGCACGAAAGCGUGGGUAUCGAACAGG
This 252-nucleotide ribosomal RNA is filed under the name uncultured Bacteroidales bacterium. RNAcentral describes it as "partial 16S ribosomal RNA". It matches the Rfam family "Bacterial small subunit ribosomal RNA", at positions 524 to 776 of the family's 1533-position model. Lineage: Bacteria; Pseudomonadati; Bacteroidota; Bacteroidia; Bacteroidales. The record is from RNAcentral.